GAUGAAGAACGCAGCGAAAUGCGAUAAGUAGUGUGAAUUGCAGAAUCCAGUGAAUCAUCGAAUCUUUGAACGCACAUUGCGCCCGCCAGCAUUCUGGCGGGCAUGCCUGUUCGAGCGUCAUUUCAACCCUCGACCUCCCUUUGGGGAAGUCGGCGUUGGGGACCGGCAGCACACCGCCGGCCCUGAAAUGGAGUGGCGGCCCGUCCGCGGCGACCUCUGCGUAGUAAUCCAACUCGCACCGGAACCCCGACGCGGCCACGCCGUAAAACACCCAACUUCUGAACGUUGACCUCGAAUCAGGUAGGACUACCCGCUGAACUUAAGCAUAUCAAUAAGCGGAGGA
RNAcentral lists this unclassified non-coding RNA (343 nucleotides) under soil metagenome. Its description in RNAcentral is "partial contains 5.8S ribosomal RNA, internal transcribed spacer 2, and large subunit ribosomal RNA". The stretch from base 1 to 120 matches the Rfam family "5.8S ribosomal RNA", at positions 35 to 154 of the family's 154-position model. The record is from RNAcentral.